GCAUUAAAUGAGAGUUACCACAAAUACUAGCUUCAAGACAUUUCAUCCGUUUCAUCCGUUCAGUAAACCAAGUGGAUCAGUGUACCUCCUUCAGUAGGGCAACAGAACUUUCUUUAUGAGCGCGUUGAGUUCUGAACAUUGCUGUAUUAUGUAACCGCGAACAGCAGAUGAUUUGACAAAAGGUAAAAUACAUGUUUUAUGGCUGCUAGUUAUCAGACCACCAUAUGGGAAGAGGAGAGUGUUUUAUUGGUUCAAAAGUGGCGUGAGACAGGGGGUCAGGGCGAAGUGGAUGCCGGCCCCAGAUCAACACCCUGUCUGAGGUGGCCUGGCUUGAACCUGUAGCACAUCAAAAGUUACGGUAAGUGUUUUUAUGUUUUUUUUUUUGUUAUUAAACAAUAAUGAUGUUCUCUGAAGGCCAGUUGUAGACAAUUGCUCCUGUCUCUUCUGUGCAUCUUGAUUGAGUCUUUUGGCUGACAAUCUAAAGAUGUAAACAGAUGCAAAAACACAGGACUGAAACAGAGAAAAUGCACAGUAAUGAUAAACAGUAUCAUGCCUCCAGAGUUGCAUUAUCCGUGUACAUCCAGAAGCCUUGUUUAUCGACAACUAGAACUACCUAUUACUACCACUUUCUGCUGCUACAUACUACUACUACUACUUUACUACUUUACUGCUGCUACAUACUGCUACUACUUUACUACUUUAUUGUUACUGCUACUACUUUACUGUUACUACUUUACUACUACUGCCUAGCUGCAGAGACGACUGAGUUAGUCUGGCCACACUUAAAGGAGGAGUUGACCGGUCGGUUGUUGAGGUUGGGACAAGAUGUUCUCACUGAUAAGAUUCCCUCAUACUGCUGACAGAACAUGAAAUACUUUCGUUUUGCUGUCCUUCCUUGUUUGUUUUGGGUUCUGAACCAUAAAGUGCUGAGUUUGUUUUGUGCUGGUAGUGAUGGCCUUUAAUCUUUUUUGAUCUGUGAAAUGCUUGAUCAUGUUUUACCUGUUCGGGUCCUGGUGUUAUUACCUGUUCAGGUGUCUGUGUUGAUUCUGCAGAAACAGCAGAGUCUUAAGUGAUGAAAUACACAUAGACAUAGACAAUAAAAGUGUGUGUUUUCCU
Clupea harengus (Atlantic herring) is the source of this 1116-nucleotide long non-coding RNA. RefSeq lists it as uncharacterized. The record is from RefSeq and is a predicted model, not a curated record. NCBI's taxonomy places the organism in Eukaryota, Metazoa, Chordata, Actinopteri, Clupeiformes, Clupeidae. The transcript has 2 exons.